RNAcentral lists this ribosomal RNA (199 nucleotides) under uncultured bacterium. Its description in RNAcentral is "partial 16S ribosomal RNA". It matches the Rfam family "Bacterial small subunit ribosomal RNA", at positions 335 to 526 of the family's 1533-position model. The record is from RNAcentral.
ACUCCUACGGGAGGCAGCGGUAGGGAGUUUUCGGCAAUGGGGGCAACCCUGACCGAGCAACGCCGCGUGAGUGAUGAAGGUCUUCGGAUUGUAAAACUCUGUUGUGGAGGACGAAUGGUAGGGAUAGGCAAUGAUCUCUAUUUGACAGUACUUCAUUAGAAAGCCAUGGCUAACUAUGUGCCAGCAGCCGCGGUAAUAC